CGAAAACGAAUUCUCUCUUGAGUGGAUCCUGAGUACGACGGAGCACGUGAAAUUCCGUCGGAAUCUGGGAGGACCAUCUCCUAAGGCUAAAUACUCUCUAGUGACCGAUAGUGAACCAGUACCGUGAGGGAAAGGUGAAAAGUACCCCGGAAGGGGAGUGAAAGAGAACUUGAAACCGUGUGCUUACAAGUAGUCAGAGCCCGUUAAUGGGUGAUGGCGUGCCUUUUGUAGAAUGAACCGGCGAGUUACGAUCUGAUGCAAGGUUAAGCAGAAAAUGUGGAGCCGUAGCGAAAGCGAGUCUGAAUAGGGCGAAUGAGUAUUUGGUCGUAGACCCGAAACCAGGUGAUCUACCCUUGGUCAGGUUGAAGUUCAGGUAACACUGAAUGGAGGACCGAACCGACUUACGUUGAAAAGUGAGCGGAUGAACUGAGGGUAGCGGAGAAAUUCCAAUCGAACUUGGAGAUAGCUGGUUCUCUCCGAAAUAGCUUUAGGGCUAGCCUCAAGUGAUGAUUAUUGGAGGUAGAGCACUGUUUGGACGAGGGGCCCCUCUCGGGUUACCGAAUUCAGACAAACUCCGAAUGCCAAAUAAUUUAACUUGGGAGUCAGAAUGUGGGUGAUAAGGUCCAUAUUCGAAAGGGAAACAGCCCAGACCACCAGCUAAGGUCCCAAAAUAUAUGUUAAGUGGAAAAGGAUGUGGCGUUGCCCAGACAACUAGGAUGUUGGCUUAGAAGCAGCCAUCAUUUAAAGAGUGCGUAAUAGCUCACUAGUCGAGUGACACUGCGCCGAAAAUGUACCGGGGCUAAACAUAUUACCGAAGCUGUGGAUUGUCCUUUGGACAAUGGUAGGAGAGCGUUCUAAGGGCGUUGAAGCAUGAUCGCAAGGACAUGUGGAGCGCUUAGAAGUGAGAAUGCCGGUGUGAGUAGCGAAAGACGGGUGAGAAUCCCGUCCACCGAUUGACUAAGGUUUCCAGAGGAAGGCUCGUCCGCUCUGGGUUAGUCGGGUCCUAAGCUGAGGCCGACAGGCGUAGGCGAUGGAUAACAGGUUGAUAUUCCUGUACCACCAUUAUUCGUUUUAAGCGAUGGGGGGACGCAGUAGGAUAGGCGAAGCGUGCUGUUGGAGUGCACGUCCAAGCAGUGAGAUUGAGUGUUAGGCAAAUCCGGCACUCU
RNAcentral lists this ribosomal RNA (1166 nucleotides) under Staphylococcus pseudintermedius. RNAcentral describes it as "partial 23S ribosomal RNA". It matches the Rfam family "Bacterial large subunit ribosomal RNA", at positions 380 to 1551 of the family's 2925-position model. Lineage: Bacteria; Bacillati; Bacillota; Bacilli; Caryophanales; Staphylococcaceae. The record is from RNAcentral.